UAUAGAGGUCUCAAGCGUUGUUCGGAUUCAUUGGGCGUAAAGGGUGUGUAGGUGGCGCGCUAAGUCGGGUGUGAAAUUUCGGAGCUUAACUCCGAAACUGCAUUCGAUACUGGCGUGCUUGAGGACUGGAGAGGAGACUGGAAUUUACGGUGUAGCAGUGAAAUGCGUAGAUAUCGUAAGGAAGACCAGUGGCGAAGGCGGGUCUCUGGACAGUUCCUGACACUGAGACACGAAGGCCAGGGGAGCAAACGGG
Molecule: ribosomal RNA, 253 nt
Filed under: uncultured bacterium
Lineage: Bacteria
Description: partial 16S ribosomal RNA
Rfam family: Bacterial small subunit ribosomal RNA
Source: RNAcentral